Molecule: ribosomal RNA, 688 nt
Filed under: Escherichia coli
Lineage: Bacteria; Pseudomonadati; Pseudomonadota; Gammaproteobacteria; Enterobacterales; Enterobacteriaceae
Description: partial 23S ribosomal RNA
Rfam family: Bacterial large subunit ribosomal RNA
Source: RNAcentral
CGUUAUCCGGGUUGCGGACAGUGUCUGGUGGGUAGUUUGACUGGGGCGGUCUCCUCCUAAAGAGUAACGGAGGAGCACGAAGGUUGGCUAAUCCUGGUCGGACAUCAGGAGGUUAGUGCAAUGGCAUAAGCCAGCUUGACUGCGAGCGUGACGGCGCGAGCAGGUGCGAAAGCAGGUCAUAGUGAUCCGGUGGUUCUGAAUGGAAGGGCCAUCGCUCAACGGAUAAAAGGUACUCCGGGGAUAACAGGCUGAUACCGCCCAAGAGUUCAUAUCGACGGCGGUGUUUGGCACCUCGAUGUCGGCUCAUCACAUCCUGGGGCUGAAGUAGGUCCCAAGGGUAUGGCUGUUCGCCAUUUAAAGUGGUACGCGAGCUGGGUUUAGAACGUCGUGAGACAGUUCGGUCCCUAUCUGCCGUGGGCGCUGGAGAACUGAGGGGGGCUGCUCCUAGUACGAGAGGACCGGAGUGGACGCAUCACUGGUGUUCGGGUUGUCAUGCCAAUGGCACUGCCCGGUAGCUAAAUGCGGAAGAGAUAAGUGCUGAAAGCAUCUAAGCACGAAACUUGCCCCGAGAUGAGUUCUCCCUGACUCCCUGAGAGUCCUGAAGGAACGUUGAAGACGACGACGUUGAUAGGCCGGGUGUGUAAGCGCAGCGAUGCGUUGAGCUAACCGGUACUAAUGAACCGUGAGG